Molecule: unclassified non-coding RNA, 874 nt
Filed under: Genlisea aurea
Lineage: Eukaryota; Viridiplantae; Streptophyta; Magnoliopsida; Lamiales; Lentibulariaceae
Description: partial contains tRNA-Leu (trnL) gene and trnL-trnF spacer region
Source: RNAcentral
AACUGAGCUAUCCCGACCAUUCACAGCGGAGUAUCCCAUACUUACUUAUUUUAGUAUUUUAUUCGCUGCCUGGGGUCUAUGUCAAUUAAAGGAGAUUCCAAAGUUUUCUCCAAGUCCUGUAAGUUUUUUUGAUCUUCAAAAAAAAAAAAAAGACAACUUUCGAAGUUGCAGUCGUAGUAAAGCUAGUGAUUGUGAAUCAUUUAAAUUUGAAUCGGGAUUCUUUGCUAAUGUAUUCGAUUGUUAGAAGAGAAAGUCAUUUCCGCCCAACUCCGUUUGGCAAAGAAUCUGCAAGAGAAAGCAGUUUGGAACUCUGGCUAGGAUAACUAGUUUGGAAUUCAACUUUUUUGGGGAUAGAGGGACUUGAACCCUCACGAUUUAAAAAGUCAACGGAUUUUCCUCUUACUAUAAAUUUCAUUCUUGCCGGUAGUGACAUGUAGAAGGGGACUCUAUCUUUAUUCUUGUCCGAUUGAUCUGGUCUUAAAAAGGUUUAUCGGACUAGGCUAGGGAGUGAAUGAGUUGAUCGAUUUUUUAUUCAAUGUCUAAUGAAUGAAUUGACACCAAUUCUUCUAUUUUUCAUCUAAAAAAGAUACAGUUAUAGAUUUCGGCCAGCAUUAAUAUCUUAAUUAUUAAAUGCAAAUAAUCGUAUUCAAUAGAGAGGUGUAUCCUUGAUCCUUUCUGAUCUUUCGACAGUAAGAUUCUUCUCCGGGUGCACCCAUUUAUUAGAACAGCUUCCAUUGAGUCCUGCGCCUAUCCUAUCCUUUUUUUUUUUAUGAACCUUUCUUUUUCGAAAACAGGAUUUGGCUCAGGAUUGCCCUUUUUAGUAAUUCCGGGGUUUCUCUGAAUUUGAAAGUUCUCACCUAGUAGGUUUCCAUAC